GAACGCUGGCGGCGGCCCUAAUACAUGCAAGUAGAACGCUGAGGUUUGGUGUUUCCACUAGACUGAUGAGUUGCGAACGGGUGAGUAACGCGUAGGUAACCUGCCUCAUAGCGGGGGAUAACUAUUGGAAACGAUAGCUAAUACCGCAUAAGAGUAAUUAACACAUGUUAGUUAUUUAAAAGGAGCAAUUGCUUCACUGUGAGAUGGACCUGCGUUGUAUUAGCUAGUUGGUGAGGUAAAGGCUCACCAAGGCGACGAUACAAAGCCGACCUGAGAGGGUGAUCGGCCACACUGGGACUGAGACACGGCCCAGACUNCUACGGGAGGCAGCAGUAGGGAAUCUUCGGCAAUGGACGGAAGUCUGACCGAGCAACGCCGCGUGAGUGAAGAAGGUUUUCGGAUCGUAAAGCUCUGUUGUUAGAGAAGAACGUUGGUAGGAGUGGAAAAUCUACCAAGUGACGGUAACUAACCAGAAAGGGACGGCUAACUACGUGCCAGCAGCCGCGGUAAUACGUAGGUCCCGAGCGUUGUCCGGAUUUAUUGGGCGUAAAGCGAGCGCAGGCGGUUCUUUAAGUCUGAAGUUAAAGGCAGUGGCUUAACCAUUGUACGCUUUGGAAACUGGAGGACUUGAGUGCAGAAGGGGAGAGUGGAAUUCCAUGUGUAGCGGUGAAAUGCGUAGAUAUAUGGAGGAACACCGGUGGCGAAAGCGGCUCUCUGGUCUGUAACUGACGCUGAGGCUCGAAAGCGUGGGGAGCAAACAGGAUUAGAUACCCUGGUAGUCCACGCCGUAAACGAUGAGUGCUAGGGGUUAGGACCUUUCCGGGGCUUAGU
This 831-nucleotide ribosomal RNA is filed under the name Streptococcus agalactiae. Its description in RNAcentral is "bacterial SSU rRNA". It matches the Rfam family "Bacterial small subunit ribosomal RNA", at positions 31 to 844 of the family's 1533-position model. Lineage: Bacteria; Bacillati; Bacillota; Bacilli; Lactobacillales; Streptococcaceae. The record is from RNAcentral.